UACGGAGGAUCCAAGCGUUAUCCGGAAUUACUGGGCGUAAAGAGUUGCGUAGGUGGCAUAGUAAGCAAAUAGUGAAAUCGUGCGGCUCAACCGCAUACCCAUUAUUUGAACUGCUAAGCUUGAGUAUGAGAGAGGUAGAUGGAAUUUCUAGUGUAGGAGUGAAAUCCGUAGAUAUUAGAAGGAACACCGAUGGCGUAGGCAGUCUACUGGCUCAUUACUGACACUAAGGCACGAAAGCGUGGGGAGCGAACGGG
Molecule: ribosomal RNA, 254 nt
Filed under: uncultured bacterium
Lineage: Bacteria
Description: partial 16S ribosomal RNA
Rfam family: Bacterial small subunit ribosomal RNA
Source: RNAcentral